Molecule: long non-coding RNA, 411 nt
Organism: Mesocricetus auratus (golden hamster)
Lineage: Eukaryota; Metazoa; Chordata; Mammalia; Rodentia; Cricetidae
Exons: 3
Source: RefSeq, a predicted model, not a curated record
ACCCAAAAGAAAGAGCCCGUGCAAGUGAGACCACACCUCAUGCUUCCCAAUUCCCACUUCCCUAUGCCUGAAGCCGCGUUCAAAGGAUAAGAGGGAAGACACCGAUACAUACAUAUCUUUCAAAACGCCACAACCAGACUUAGCACUGCAAGCCUACAUAAAGAGAAGCUUCAGUAGAGAAAGAAACCUGAAAGUUCCAGUACAAAGGCCCAGGCGCUAAGAACAUCUUAGAUGAAGUUAGAGAUUGAAAACAUUUCAGAACAACACCAGACCUUGGGUUUGUGAUUCCUAUACACUGGGUAAGUCUUCCCUCAAGGCAGCCCUCCUGGGAAACAUGCUCAUAGCCAUGCCUAGAUGUGAAUCUCCUAAGUGAUGCCAAAUUUAAUUAACAAUGAAGAUUAAACCCUACAG